AACCGAUUUGGUCCUAGUCCUUUCAUUGGCUUAUUCUACAAUGAUACAUGCAAGUCUCAUGACAACCCUGUGAGUACUAUAAAAACAACUCUUCUUUUAAAGAAUGUUUUAACAAAAUAUCAGGCAUAACCUUAUACCCCCAACAUUUAGACACCCCACACCUGCAGUACUUAACAUUAUAAUAUAGGCGAAAGCCUGAUAUAGUGAUAGAAACAAGAAUCGGUAAAUUAUGUGCCAGCCACCGCGGUUAUACAUAAAAUUCAAGUCAACAUACAACGGUAUAAACAGUGGUUAAACAUUGAUCAAACCCUUAGGAUAUAAAACAACUCAAGCAGUAACAAGCUAACAGACUACUAAUCCCAAUCACCCCAACACAAUCCUAACCCAUUGAACCCACUAAAGCUCAAAAAUAAACUGGGAUUAGAUACCCCACUAUAUGAGCCCUAAAACUACCAAACACCAAAGAACUACGAACUAAAAUUUAAAACUCAAAGGACUUGGCGGUCUUUUAGACCUUCCUGGAGGAGCUUGCUAUCAAACCGAUAAUCCUCGUCACACCUUACCAACUUUUGAACACCCAGCCUGUAUACCAUCGUCGUCAGCCUACCUCUCAAGAGAAGUACACAAAAAGAACUCUUCUUCCCUACGUCAGAUCGAGGUGCAGCUAAUAAGUUGGGGAUUAGUGAGCUACAAUAUUACAACAAAUCAAACCAAAAAAGAUUAUGAAUAGACCUUCUAAAACAGUCCUGAAACAGGAUUCAGAAGUAAUAGUUACCAGAAAAUAACUAUGAACUUAAAGCUCUAAAAUGCGCACACAUCGCCCGUCACUCUCGUCGUUAGAGGAGAAAAGUCGUAACAAAGUAGGCGUAUUGGAAAAUGUGCCUGGAACCAC
RNAcentral lists this non-coding RNA (892 nucleotides) under Zoroaster ophiactis. Lineage: Eukaryota; Metazoa; Echinodermata; Asteroidea; Forcipulatida; Zoroasteridae. The record is from RNAcentral.